GGGCGGGUAGCUCAGCCGGUUAGAGCAAGGGGCUCAUAACCCCAAGGUCGCUGGUUCGAAUCCAGCCCCGCCCA
This 74-nucleotide transfer RNA is filed under the name Candidatus Dormiibacterota bacterium. RNAcentral's name for it is "tRNA-Ile". It matches the Rfam family "tRNA". From Rfam's summary of the family: Transfer RNA (tRNA) molecules are approximately 80 nucleotides in length. Their secondary structure includes four short double-helical elements and three loops (D, anti-codon, and T loops). Further hydrogen bonds mediate the characteristic L-shaped molecular structure. tRNAs have two regions of fundamental functional importance: the anti-codon, which is responsible for specific mRNA codon recognition, and the 3' end, to which the tRNAs corresponding amino acid is attached (by aminoacyl-tRNA synthetases). tRNAs cope with the degeneracy of the genetic code in two manners: having more than one tRNA (with a specific anti-codon) for a particular amino acid; and 'wobble' base-pairing, i.e. permitting non-standard base-pairing at the 3rd anti-codon position. RNAcentral also lists the same sequence under 2 other names. The record is from RNAcentral. Lineage: Bacteria; Bacillati; Candidatus Dormiibacterota.